GCGCUUAUAGCUUAGCGGUAGAGCAUUUGGCUUUUAACCAAUCGAGGGAGGGUUCGAGUCCUUCUAAGCACA
This 72-nucleotide transfer RNA is filed under the name Haptophyceae sp. NIES-3900. Its description in RNAcentral is "tRNA-Lys". It matches the Rfam family "tRNA". Rfam says of the family: Transfer RNA (tRNA) molecules are approximately 80 nucleotides in length. The record is from RNAcentral. Lineage: Eukaryota; Haptophyta.